Molecule: transfer RNA, 73 nt
Filed under: Anaerolineaceae bacterium
Lineage: Bacteria; Bacillati; Chloroflexota; Anaerolineae; Anaerolineales; Anaerolineaceae
Description: tRNA-Glu
Rfam family: tRNA
About the family: Transfer RNA (tRNA) molecules are approximately 80 nucleotides in length. Their secondary structure includes four short double-helical elements and three loops (D, anti-codon, and T loops).
Source: RNAcentral
GCCCCCAUUGUCUAGCGGCCCAGGACGUGGCCCUCUCAAGGCCAAAACACCAGUUCGAAUCUGGUUGGGGGCA